CUUUUAUUGUUUAAUAUAUAAAUUGUAAAUACACCCUAUAUUAUUCCCAAAAGAAUAAUAUUUACAACACAAAUGCACCUUUUGUAAGUUCAACGGGGAAAGACAUAAUUGCAUCUCUCAUCCCCAAAGUUUGUUUAAAGUUUGGCCAUACAAUUUUUAACUAAAGACUGACUGAAAACCCCAGACGCAGGCUAAUAUGUUUUAGGUAUAUGUCAUUCUCAGAAUCACUUCAACUUACACAACAUUAAACUUCUGUUUAAGUUGUAACAUUACCAAGACAAAUCAAUGCAAUGCAUAAACAAGCACAACUAUCCCAAAAUUCUUGCAGAAAUAUGGGCUGGCAAAAACUCAAGAUGGCUGGCUUUCCGAAACGGCUGGAACCGGUUGUCUGGUAACUGCAGCCAAGAUAUCAGCAUAACCUACGACACCAACUAAUAUGUCAUCGUUUUCAGCCUCUGUAACCCAAACAUGUGUUGCCCGGUGAGAUAAUAUUUGAGCCAUUACUGCAGCCAGCGAACUAGUAACUUUACACGUUAAUGGUGCACUUCUACCCCGAUACAUGCUCCUACCAACCCCAAAACUUGAAUUUGCGGCAUUGCUAAAGAACCCAAUACUUCUGCUGCUGAAUUUUUUUUGCCUGGCUGGGAUUCCUCCAUUACCUAAAUUCGAUUCCCCGACCAUUUGAUUAAGCGCAAUAUCAGGAAGUGAUCUUGAUGUCAGGUUAUCUUCAACCCCCAUAACAAACUGUCCAGCAGAGAGAUUAGCAAGUGCCCAUGAUGCAGCUAAGUAAUCACAUUUCCAUAGUUUAGAGGCAGAUAUUUCACCGAUGAUGUUAUAUUGACCAUCUGACGUUGGCUCCACAACAGCAACUGCACAUGGAUCAUGGGGACGAUUUUUGGUGGCAUCAAUGGCUGGGAAAGAUGCUUCAAUAGAGCAGUAGUUUGGAUUGAUGAUUCCAAGGGAAGCAAUUGAGGAAAGUGGUAAAGGAGCCAAGGCACCAAGGCAACCAAUGAUGAAACGUAGAACAUCUUCUCUUGACAGACAACAAAACUUGUCCUGAAUGAUGUCGGUGGAAGAUGAUGACGAUGGAAGGUUAGUGUUGGCAAUAGGGUUUGUGUUAUUGCCACUAGAAGUCUCGAUGUUCUUGAGCCAUUUUCCAUUGUAUAGAACUGAGAAGCGCUUGCUCAUGCCUCUCCAGACUAUGCUUUUGGGAAUAAGGAGUCGCUUCACACCUUGCUUCAUCAUCUCCAGAGCAUCUAUCAAUCUUAUACAAGAAACAAAUAUCAGAAUUAUAAGUACUAUUAAGGAACACUAAAGCGAGAAUGUAACAAAUGCUAAUUGGGUCCCACAUAAGCUUUAACACAUGGAACAACAAAG
RNAcentral lists this long non-coding RNA (1377 nucleotides) under Olea europaea subsp. europaea. The record is from RNAcentral. Lineage: Eukaryota; Viridiplantae; Streptophyta; Magnoliopsida; Lamiales; Oleaceae.